GACUCUGAAACUAAAUAUAUGCCAUUAUGAUGUCUUUAAGUGCUAAGGGAUUCCAAGCUAAACAAAUGACAAAGUGACCUUUUUCCAUGUAACUGAAUUAUCACAUGUAGUUCUGUGCAAUAAUUCAUGAUCAUUUAUCCCUUUUCAGGGGGUUUGUAUUGUGAUGAUAUGAACAUAUUAUUCUUAUCAAUACUGUAAAACUGAUUUCAACCAUCUCUAGCCCUGUGCACACAUUUUAAACCCAUUUCCAAACAGCCAGCAAAUUAAACUGUGAAAGUGGGUGUUUUCAUCCACUAGUGUUAUGAAAUACAGUCAAGAGUGCCUGACAUUAUGUCAUCACUGCUUCUCACCUAAUGCACCUACGUUGCAUUCAUUCAUUAACAGAGCUAUUUUGGCUCCAGAGGUAAAAGUCCCAUUAAUCACAGACGAUGCUAUGUGACUCACAGGUGGAGCACUUCUAUGGCUUAGAGCAGCACGAAGCUCUCCUGGUUGAAUCAUCGGGACAAAAGAUGAACAGCUGUGUUAGAAAAGAUCUGGUUCUUCUUGAUAAAAAGUCAAAGGUACGAGAAGCCUGUGGACAUAAAAACUGAAGGAGAGACGUCAACUACGACUCCCAGGGUGCAUUUCACUAAAAAACAUCCAAUAACCGAGUGGCAUGCAGCAAAGGGCAGCAGGCUGGAAUCGAACCCGUGCCACUGCGGUAAGGACUGAGCUAUCGGGGAGCCCCUUAAGAAAAAAACAUAAAGUAUGUGUCAUGUAUGUGUUGAUUCUGUAAUGAGGCAGCUACAGUGUAAAGACUUAAGAAUCACUUUUAAUUUGCACGAAGUUCACCCCCACACCUGAGCAGGUCAACCACAGCAACACCUGUUGGAGCCUGUUCAUGUCUGCAGACACUGCUCCUCACAUUUUGGACUAACAGAGAAAAGACAUGCUGACGGAGAUUAGCCAGGCUACAUCUGUACAGCAGACUGCAUGGUGAAUACUGUGACACCGACCACUGAGCGGCCUGGCCUUCAGGCACACCGACUGCAGCUGACAGUUCAGCCACAGUUACUGAAUCCACUGCAAAAGGCAACUCCAGGUAACACGGCAUCGCAAAACCGCGGCAAACGCUCACUCAGGGACCCGGCACCCGGUACCUGACACCCGGUACCUGACACCCGGCACCAGGCACCCGGUACCUGACACCUGACACCCGGUACCUGACGUGCGUCAUGUUUUCAGUUUAACAAAUCCCUUGGGACACUUGAAUCGAUGCACGUGUGGGACAUCAGGAGCAUUUUAUUUUACAGUUAUUUAACACUGUAUGGAAGCCUUUGGUCAAGAAGAAGAAUGACAGUGACUGUGAGACAUGGAGCCAGGUGGUGUCUUCACAGGGGGAUCUGACCUGGUUUCCCUGCUACUAAUUGAAUGUCAUCUAUAACAUCAUUGCACAGAGAGAGAACUCUGUGGUGUCCCUGGCUCAGACUACAAGGAACCUGGGUGUGACACUGGAUGACCAGCUGUCUACUGUAACUCGCUCCUGGCUGGUGUGUCUGCAUGUGCCAUCCGACCUCUGCAGCUCAUCCAGAAUGCAGCAGCUCGGCUGGUCUUCAACCUACCCAAGUUCUCCCACACUACACCGCUCCCCGCACCCUACACUGA
Molecule: long non-coding RNA, 1644 nt
Organism: Siniperca chuatsi (mandarin fish)
Lineage: Eukaryota; Metazoa; Chordata; Actinopteri; Centrarchiformes; Sinipercidae
Exons: 3
Source: RefSeq, a predicted model, not a curated record